UACGUAGGGUGCGAGCGUUAUCCGGAAUUAUUGGGCGUAAAGAGCGCGUAGGCGGUCUCUUAAGUCUGAUGUGAAAGCCCCCGGCUCAACCGGGGAGGGUCAUUGGAAACUGGGAGACUUGAGUGCAGAAGAGGAGAGUGGAAUUCCAUGUGUAGCGGUGGAAUGCGCAGAGAUAUGGAGGAACACCAGUGGCGAAGGCGGCUCUCUGGUCUGUAACUGACGCUGAGGUGCGAAAGCGUGGGGAUCAAAC
Molecule: ribosomal RNA, 250 nt
Filed under: uncultured bacterium
Lineage: Bacteria
Description: partial 16S ribosomal RNA
Rfam family: Bacterial small subunit ribosomal RNA
Source: RNAcentral